CUACGGGCUGCACCAGUGAGGAAUUUUGCGCAAUGGGGGGAACCCUGACGCAGCAACGCCGCGUGAGUGAUGAAGGCUUUCGGGUCGUAAAGCUCUGUCAAGUGGGAAGAACCUAUGCAGUGUUAAUAUCACUGUAUACUGACGGUACCACUGAAGGAAGCACCGGCUAACUCCGUGCCAGGCAGCCGCGGUAAUACGGGGGGUGCAAGCGUUAUUCGGAAUCAUUGGGCGUAAAGGGCACGUAGGCGGCUUGGUAAGUCAGAUGUGAAAGCCCGGGGCUUAACCCGGGAAGUGCAUUUGAUACUGUUAGGCUUGGGUAAGGGAGAGGGAAGUGGAAUUCCUGGGGUAGAGGUGAAAUUCGUAGAUAUCAGGAGGAACACCGGUGGCGAAGGCGACUUCCUGGAACAAUACUGACGCUGAGGUGCGAAGGCGUGGGUAGCAAACAGGAUUAGAUACCCUUGAGUC
This 465-nucleotide ribosomal RNA is filed under the name uncultured bacterium. RNAcentral describes it as "partial 16S ribosomal RNA". It matches the Rfam family "Bacterial small subunit ribosomal RNA", at positions 339 to 795 of the family's 1533-position model. The record is from RNAcentral.